UGUUGCAGUGACAUUCAGCACCCGUCCGCCGUUGGCGAGAAUUCUGUCUCCGGCGGCCUUGGUGCCGGCAUGGAAGAUUUCGACGCCUUCGAUCUUCGCAGCAUCACCGAGACCUUCGAUGACCGUGCCUUUGACAUAGUCGCCGGGAUAGCCCUUCGCGGCCAUCACAACGGUGAGCGCGGGCUCGGGAUACCAGCGCAGGUCGAAAUGCUUCAAUUCACCUUCGACCGAGGCGAGCAGCGCCGGCACGAGGUCCGACNNNNNNNNNNNNCGGGAUCGCCGAAGCGCGCAUUGUAUUCGAUCAGCUUCGGGCCAUCCCUGGUGAUAAUCAG
This 332-nucleotide unclassified non-coding RNA is filed under the name Hevea brasiliensis (rubber tree). Lineage: Eukaryota; Viridiplantae; Streptophyta; Magnoliopsida; Malpighiales; Euphorbiaceae. The record is from RNAcentral.